This 951-nucleotide ribosomal RNA is filed under the name Russula vesca. Its description in RNAcentral is "partial large subunit ribosomal RNA". It matches the Rfam family "Eukaryotic large subunit ribosomal RNA", at positions 24 to 943 of the family's 3401-position model. Lineage: Eukaryota; Fungi; Basidiomycota; Agaricomycetes; Russulales; Russulaceae. The record is from RNAcentral.
UAUUUUUCCCCGGGAAAAAUUAUACAUUCAAUAAGCGGAGGAAAAGAAACUAACAAGGAUUCCCCUAGUAACUGCGAGUGAAGCGGGAAAAGCUCAAAUUUAAAAUCUGGUGGUCUUUGGCCAUCCGAGUUGUAAUUUAGAGAAGCGUCUUCCGCGCUGGGCCGUGCACAAGUCUCCUGGAAUGGAGCGUCAUAGAGGGUGAGAAUCCCGUCUUUGGCACGGACCCCCAGGGCUUCUGUGAUGCGCUCUCGACGAGUCGAGUUGUUUGGGAAUGCAGCUCAAAAUGGGUGGUGAACUCCAUCUAAAGCUAAAUAUUGGCGAGAGACCGAUAGCGAACAAGUACCGUGAGGGAAAGAUGAAAAGCACUUUGGAAAGAGAGUGAAACAGUACGUGAAAUUGUUGAAAGGGAAACGCUUGAAGUCAGUCGCGUCGACCGAGACUCAGCCUUGCCUCGGCUUGGUGUACUUCUCGGUUUGACGGGUCAGCAUCAAUUUUGACCCUCGGAUAAUGGCAAGGGAAAGGUAGCACCUUUUUAGGUGUGUUAUAGUCCUCUGUCGCAUGCGAGGGUUGAGAUUGAGGAACUCAGCAUGCACCUUCGGGUGUCGGGGCCUUGGCCCACGUUACGUGCUUAGGAUGCUGGCAUAAUGGCUUUAAACGACCCGUCUUGAAACACGGACCAAGGAGUCUAACAUACCCGCGAGUGUUCGGGUGGAAAACCCGUGCGCGUAAUGAAAGUGAAAGUUGGGACCUCUGUCGUGGAGGGCACCGACGCCCGGACCAGACCUUCUGUGACGGCUCUGCGGUAGAGCGUGUAUGUUGGGACCCGAAAGAUGGUGAACUAUGCCUGAAUAGGGUGAAGCCAGAGGAAACUCUGGUGGAGGCUCGUAGCGAUUCUGACGUGCAAAUCGAUCGUCAAAUUUGGGUAUAGGGGCGAAAGACUAAUCGAACCAU